CGUCCCCGCGGGGUCCGUCUGGCUCCGGCCGUCUCGUCCUGGCGGGGCAGAGGACGUUCCUGUCGCCUCCCGUGGAAGUUGCACCGAUUGCUGGUAGGAAAACUUGCAGGUGAGCCAUCCCACUUCUGACAUCUGUGAAAUAUCUUAUAAAUGAAUGGACCAUUCCUUCCACCCCUGCUCCUUGUCAGGUGUAAGGUCCUUUUCAAGUAAUGAAAUCCUUCCUGGAAUUUAUUGGUUGCUACUCUUGGAUUGCUACACUUUAUUUGUCAGAGUCUGCCUUCAGUGGAG
This is a long non-coding RNA of Calypte anna (Anna's hummingbird), 288 nucleotides long. RefSeq lists it as uncharacterized. The record is from RefSeq and is a predicted model, not a curated record. The transcript has 3 exons. NCBI's taxonomy places the organism in Eukaryota, Metazoa, Chordata, Aves, Apodiformes, Trochilidae.